AGUGAACGCUGGCGGUAGGCCUAACACAUGCAAGUCGAACGGCAGCACAGUAAGAGCUUGCUCUUACGGGUGGCGAGUGGCGGACGGGUGAGGAAUACAUCGGAAUCUACUUUUUCGUGGGGGAUAACGUAGGGAAACUUAUGCUAAUACCGCAUACGACCUACGGGUGAAAGCAGGGGAUCUUCGGACCUUGCGCGAUUGAAUGAGCCGAUGUCGGAUUAGCUAGUUGGCGGGGUAAGGGCACACCAAGGCGACGAUCCGUAGCUGGUCUGAGAGGAUGAUCAGCCACACUGGAACUGAGACACGGUCCAGACUCCUACGGGAGGCAGCAGUGGGGAAUAUUGGACAAUGGGCGCAAGCCUGAUCCAGCCAUACCGCGUGGGUGAAGAAGGCCUUCGGGUUGUAAAGCCCUUUUGUUGGGAAAGAAAAGCAGCAGGUUAAUACCCCGCUGUUCUGACGGUACCCAAAGAAUAAGCACCGGCUAACUUCGUG
RNAcentral lists this ribosomal RNA (492 nucleotides) under uncultured bacterium. RNAcentral describes it as "partial 16S ribosomal RNA". It matches the Rfam family "Bacterial small subunit ribosomal RNA", at positions 29 to 507 of the family's 1533-position model. The record is from RNAcentral.